This 846-nucleotide unclassified non-coding RNA is filed under the name Neopyrenochaeta maesuayensis. Its description in RNAcentral is "sequence contains 18S rRNA gene, ITS1, 5.8S rRNA gene, ITS2". The stretch from base 481 to 846 matches the Rfam family "Eukaryotic large subunit ribosomal RNA", at positions 1 to 369 of the family's 3401-position model. Lineage: Eukaryota; Fungi; Ascomycota; Dothideomycetes; Pleosporales; Neopyrenochaetaceae. The record is from RNAcentral.
GCGGAGACAUUAUCAAGUUACAGCGGAGGCGCUCUCGGGUGUCCUCCUGUCUGCAACCCUUGUCUUUUGCGUACUGUAUGUUUCCUCGGUGGGCUCGCCUGCCGAUAGGACAUUCAUAAACUCUUUGUAAUUGCAAUCAGCGUCAGAAAAACUUAUAAUAGUUACAACUUUCAACAACGGAUCUCUUGGUUCUGGCAUCGAUGAAGAACGCAGCGAAAUGCGAAAAGUAGUGUGAAUUGCAGAAUUCAGUGAAUCAUCGAAUCUUUGAACGCACAUUGCGCCCCUUGGUAUUCCAUGGGGCAUGCCUGUUCGAGCGUCAUUUGUACCUUCAAGCUCUGCUUGGUGUUGGGUGUUUGUCCCGCCGUUGCGCGUGGACUCGCCUCAAAGCAAUUGGCAGCCGGCAUAAGCCUGGGAGCGCAGCACAAUUGUUGCUUCCAUUCUUAGAUGUCGAGCGUCCAGCAAGCCUUUUAUUCUUGCGUUUGACCUCGGAUCAGGUAGGGAUACCCGCUGAACUUAAGCAUAUCAAUAAGCGGAGGAAAAGAAACCAACAGGGAUUGCCCUAGUAACGGCGAGUGAAGCGGCAUCAGCUCAAAUUUGAAAUCUGGCUCUUUCAGAGUCCGAGUUGUAAUUUGCAGAGGGCGCUUUGGCGUUGGCAGCGGUCGAGUUCCUUGGAACAGGACGUCACAGAGGGUGAGAAUCCCGUACGUGGUCGCUAGCCUUCACCGUGUAAAGCCCCUUCGACGAGUCGAGUUGUUUGGGAAUGCAGCUCUUAAUGGGAGGUAAUUUCUUCUAAAGCUAAUACUGGCCAGAGACCGAUAGCGCACCAGUGAAUGAUCGAAAAUGAAA